GCCUCUAACAAAGCUCAGUAAGUGGGAUUUAUUCAUUAAAAAAUACAGUGUUAUCUUUCAACUUAUUGUUUCCUUACUGUUGUCUCUCCAGAUUGAGUGGCUGUAACCUCUCAGAGAGAAGCUGUGAAGCUCUGUCCUCAGUUCUCAGCUCCCAGUCCUCUAGUCUGAGAGAGCUGGACCUGAGUAACAACAACCUGCAGGAUUCAGGAGUGAAGCUGCUGUUAGCUGGACUGAGGAGUACACACUGUAAACUGGAAAUUCUCAGACUGGGUGGCUGUAACCUCUUAAACAGAAGUCUUGAAGCUCUGUCCUCAGUUCUCAGCUCCCAGUCCUCUAGUCUGAGAGAGCUGGACCUGAGUAACAACGAUCUGCAAGAUUCAGGAGUGAUGCUGCUGAGAACUGGACUGGAGAGUCCACACUGUACACUGGAAACUCUCAGGCUGUCAGGCUGUCUGA
Long non-coding RNA from Morone saxatilis (striped sea-bass), 456 nucleotides. RefSeq lists it as uncharacterized. The transcript has 3 exons. Lineage: Eukaryota; Metazoa; Chordata; Actinopteri; Moronidae. The record is from RefSeq and is a predicted model, not a curated record.